Molecule: small RNA, 2151 nt
Filed under: Pongo abelii (Sumatran orangutan)
Lineage: Eukaryota; Metazoa; Chordata; Mammalia; Primates; Hominidae
Description: processed transcript
Source: RNAcentral
AAUGCACAGCACGCUGCAGACUUGGAAAAGAAGCAGAAUGAGACAGAAAACAGGAAAUUGCUGGGGACCGUAAUCCAGUAUGGCAAUGUGAUCCAGCUCCUGCAUUUGAAAAGUAAUAAAUACCUAACAGUGAAUAAGAGGCUUCCUGCUCUGUUGGAGAAGAAUGCCAUGAGAGUCACAUUGGACGAGGCUGGAAAUGAAGGGUCCUGGUUUUAUAUUCAGCCAUUCUACAAGCUGCGAUCCAUUGGAGACAGCGUGGUCAUAGGUGACAAGGUUGUUCUGAACCCCGUCAAUGCUGGUCAGCCCCUACAUGCUAGCAGCCAUCAACUGGUAGAUAACCCAGGCUGCAAUGAGGUCAAUUCCGUCAACUGCAAUACAAGCUGGAAAAUAGUCCUUUUCAUGAAAUGGAGUGAUAACAAAGAUGACAUAUUAAAGGGGGGUGACGUGGUGAGGCUGUUUCAUGCUGAGCAGGAGAAGUUUCUCACCUGUGACGAACACAGGAAGAAGCAGCAUGUCUUCCUGAGAACCACGGGCCGGCAGUCGGCCACAUCUGCCACCAGUUCAAAAGCCUUGUGGGAGGUGGAGGUGGUCCAGCAUGAUCCAUGUCGGGGCGGAGCAGGGUAUUGGAACAGCCUUUUCCGUUUCAAGCACCUGGCCACGGGACAUUACUUGGCAGCAGAGGUAGACCCUGAUCAGGAUGCCUCUCGAAGUAGGUUGCGGAAUGCCCAAGAAAAGAUGGUGUACUCCCUGGUCUCUGUGCCUGAAGGCAAUGACAUCUCCUCCAUUUUUGAGCUAGACCCCACUACUCUCCGUGGAGGUGACAGCCUUGUCCCAAGGAACUCUUAUGUUCGGCUCAGACACCUAUGUACUAAUACCUGGGUUCACAGCACAAAUAUUCCUAUUGACAAGGAAGAAGAAAAGCCCGUGAUGCUGAAAAUUGGCACCUCUCCUGUGAAGGAGGAUAAGGAAGCAUUUGCCAUAGUUCCAGUUUCUCCUGCUGAAGUUCGGGACCUGGACUUUGCCAAUGAUGCCAGCAAGGUGCUGGGCUCCAUUGCUGGGAAGCUAGAGAAAGGCACCAUCACCCAGAAUGAAAGGAGGUCUGUAACCAAGCUGCUAGAAGAUUUGGUUUACUUCGUCACUGGCGGAACUAAUUCUGGUCAAGAUGUUCUUGAAGUUGUCUUCUCCAAGCCCAACAGAGAACGGCAGAAACUGAUGAGAGAACAGAAUAUUCUCAAGCAGAUCUUCAAGUUGUUACAAGCCCCAUUCACAGACUGCGGCGAUGGCCCAAUGCUUCGGCUGGAAGAGCUCGGGGACCAGCGGCACGCUCCUUUCAGACACAUCUGCCGGCUCUGCUACAGGGUGCUGAGACACUCGCAGCAAGACUACAGGAAGAACCAGGAGUAUAUAGCCAAGCAGUUUGGCUUCAUGCAGAAGCAGAUUGGCUAUGAUGUGUUGGCUGAAGACACUAUCACUGCCCUGCUCCACAAUAAUCGGAAACUCCUGGAAAAACACAUUACCGCGGCAGAGAUUGACACAUUUGUCAGCCUGGUGCGAAAGAACAGGGAGCCCAGAUUCUUAGAUUACCUCUCCGACCUUUGUGUCUCCAUGAACAAAUCGAUUCCAGUGACCCAGGAACUAAUAUGUAAAGCUGUGCUGAAUCCCACCAACGCUGACAUCCUGAUUGAGACCAAGUUGGUUCUUUCUCGUUUUGAAUUUGAAGGUGUUUCUUCCACUGGAGAGAACGCUCUGGAGGCAGGCGAAGAUGAGGAAGAGGUGUGGCUGUUUUGGAGGGACAGCAACAAAGAGAUUCGCAGCAAGAGUGUGAGGGAGUUGGCGCAAGACGCUAAAGAAGGGCAGAAGGAGGACCGAGACGUUCUCAGCUACUACAGCUGCCAUGAUUCCCUAUAUGUUUACCUGCCUGCCCGUUUCCCUGUGUGUACCUGUCUCACCUCUGCCAGCCACCUCCUCGGUCCCCAGUGUCUCCUUGGCUGCAGCUCUAAGACCUGCCAGUCCUGCCACCUGAAGGGAAGGGAAGGGGAAGAAAGAAGGGAAGUGAACCAAUUAAUACUUUUAAAAGAAAAGGAAAGGGAAGAUAAAGCAAGGCUUUUAUUAUUUUUUAAUAAAAUAAAUUAAACUGCAGAUAAAAUGCCU